RNAcentral lists this long non-coding RNA (741 nucleotides) under Coccomyxa subellipsoidea. RNAcentral describes it as "long non-coding RNA (CSUB_LNC000710)". Lineage: Eukaryota; Viridiplantae; Chlorophyta; Trebouxiophyceae; Coccomyxaceae. The record is from RNAcentral.
GAUGUCGCCGCUCUGCGCUGCUGGGCCGCCGGCGAUCGCAACCCCGACCUGGCCCUGGUAUGAGGACGCUACAAGUCCCUGCUCAGGUUCUUGAAGAACUGUACCCUGCGCUGAUGCUGCAGCCCAUCGCACUUGCCUUUUCUAUUCCAUCUCCGCGUGAGUCCAGGCCUCUUGUGAAAUUUGCAAGCAAUUCAGGCGGCAUGGUUGAAGAGUGGGGUAAAUGGGCAAUGGGUUGCAUGCCUGCAGGCGGUGCUGACACUCAGCACGACGGCAGCGAGGUGGUGCAACAGCCUCGGCAACAACUCGCUGCUGCCGCCAUUCCUCUGUCAUGGGCUGGCAUGCGCGGUCGCCAACAUCCCCUGCCACAACAAAGAAGUGUUUGCAGCUGCCCUUAGUUGCGCCGAUGCACUCGUUGGUGCGCUGCAUAGCCCGUCCGACGAUUCCCAUACCUGCUCUCCUCAGACCUGCCAAUUGAUUGCAGACAGAGUCAGUGAUCCAACAGAUUUCGUUGACGGGUUGCCCUGAGGCAAGUCUGGAGAUGUAUUCUUCAUAUUGAUACUUGCCGAAUACUGCCCUCACAAUGCAAAGGAGUGAGUCUGUUUUCUGCUGUGCAGAGGCAUGCAAGAUCACGUCUCCGGGGAACCUGGAACUGAGAAAGGCGGUCGAUGAGUGUGGUUCUGAGCUGCUCGUCGCUCUGGUGACCGGCCUGGCAGGGACCUCUGGGCUGCCUCGCGUGCACAA